Molecule: small nuclear RNA, 107 nt
Filed under: Canis lupus familiaris (dog)
Lineage: Eukaryota; Metazoa; Chordata; Mammalia; Carnivora; Canidae
Also listed under: 1 other name
Source: RNAcentral
GUGUUUGCUUCGGCAGCACAUAUACUAAAAUCGGAACGAUAUAGAGAAGAUUAGCAUGGCCCCUGCGCAAGGAUGCCACGCAAAUUUGUCAAGUGUUCCAUAUUUUA